UACACGACCGUACCGCAAACCGACACUGGUGCGCGAGAUGAGUAUUCUAAGGCGCUUGAGAGAACUCAGGAGAAGGAACUCGGCAAAUUGACACCGUAACUUCGGAAGAAGGUGUGCCUUUAGUAGGUGAACCUGUACAAGGGGAGCCCAAUGAGGUUGCAAAAAAUCGGUGGCUGCGACUGUUUAAUAAAAACACAGCACUCUGCAAACACGAAAGUGGACGUAUAGGGUGUGACGCCUGCCCGGUGCUGGAAGAUUAAAUGAUGGGGUGCAAGCUCUUGAUUGAAGUCCCAGUAAACGGCGGCCGUAACAAUAACGGUCCUAAGGUAGCGAAAUUCCUUGUCGGGUAAGUUCCGACCUGCACGAAUGGCGUAACGAUGGCCACACUGUCUCCUCCUGAGACUCAGCGAAGUUGAAAUGUUUGUGAUGAUGCAAUCUCCCCGCGGAAAGACGGAAAGACCCCAUGAACCUUUACUGUAGCUUUGUAUUGGACUUUGAACAGAUCUGUGUAGGAUAGGUGGGAGGCUUUGAAGUGUGGUCGCUAGAUCGCAUGGAGCCAACGUUGAAAUACCACCCUGGUGUGUUUGAGGUUCUAACCUAGGCCCGUAAUCCGGGUCGGGGACAGUGCAUGGUAGGCAGUUUGACUGGGGCGGUCUCCUCCCAAAGCGUAACGGAGGAGUUCGAAGGUACGCUAGGUACGGUCGGACAUCGUGCUAAUAGUGCAAUGGCAUAAGCGUGCUUAACUGCGAGACUGACAAGUCGAGCAGAUGCGAAAGCAGGACAUAGUGAUCCGGUGGUUCUGUAUGGAAGGGCCAUCGCUCAACGGAUAAAAGGUACUCUGGGGAUAACAGGCUGAUACCGCCCAAGAGUUCAUAUCGACGGCGGUGUUUGGCACCUCGAUGUCGGCUCAUCUCAUCCUGGGGCUGUAGCCGGUCCCAAGGGUAUGGCUGUUCGCCAUUUAAAGAGGUACGUGAGCUGGGUUUAAAACGUCGUGAGACAGUUUGGUCCCUAUCUUCCGUGGGCGCUGCAGAUUUGAGGAAGCCUGCUCCUAGUACGAGAGGACCGGAGUGGACACACCUCUGGUGUAUCGGUUGUCACGCCAGUGGCAUUGCCGAGUAGCUAUGUGUGGAAGAGAUAACCGCUGAAAGCAUCUAAGCGGGAAACUCGUUUCAAGAUGAGAUCUGCCGGGGCCUUGAGCCCCCUAAAGAGUCGUUCAAGACCAGGACGUUGAUAGGUCGGGUGUGGAAGCGCAGUAAUGCGUUAAGCUAACCGAUACUAAUUGCCCGUGCGGCUUGACCA
Molecule: ribosomal RNA, 1299 nt
Filed under: metagenome
Description: bacterial LSU rRNA
Rfam family: Bacterial large subunit ribosomal RNA
Source: RNAcentral